Molecule: transfer RNA, 72 nt
Filed under: Camelus bactrianus (Bactrian camel)
Lineage: Eukaryota; Metazoa; Chordata; Mammalia; Artiodactyla; Camelidae
Also listed under: 2 other names
Rfam family: tRNA
About the family: Transfer RNA (tRNA) molecules are approximately 80 nucleotides in length.
Source: Rfam by way of RNAcentral
GGAGGUAUGGCUCAGUGGUAGAGCGCAUACUCAGCAUGCAUGAGGUCCUGGGUUCCAUCCCCAGUGCCUCCA